RNA transcript from Ictalurus punctatus (channel catfish), 1189 nucleotides. RefSeq lists it as uncharacterized. Lineage: Eukaryota; Metazoa; Chordata; Actinopteri; Siluriformes; Ictaluridae. The transcript is spliced from 6 exons. The record is from RefSeq and is a predicted model, not a curated record.
UUUCCCUUCCUGAGGAGUGAUGCUGUGAUGAUGUACGAUUCAUUUGAUCCGUUUGAUUCAUUUAGUUCAACAUUUUAAUGUUAUAUUUGGGAUUUAUUUAUUUGUAUUGUAGUCUACAUUAGUUGUAUAAAAAUCAAAAUGAAGUGAAGACAAUAAAGCAAAAUGAGGACAUGUUUUCAGCGUCACCGACUGCUUCUACUUUUCCUUUUCCUAUCAGAGAUCUUCAGCUCUGUUGGUGGAUCUUCAGUUCAGGAGGUGAUCGGUGCUGUAGGCGAGUCUGUUACAUUCACUACCAGUGUACCUGUUUCUGGAAAUCUAAUUUAUAAAGGAGGCACAGUUGGACAGGUGUUGAAUAAACAGAGUGACACAAACACCAGUGAGAAGUUUAUGAAUCGUCUUGAUUGGGUCAGUCAGAGUGGGUUCUUCACUCUCUCAGACCUGAGAACAGAUGAUUCAGGACUUUACACAGUGGAGAGCCUUAAAGAGCCGAAAGGAAGACAGGAUUAUCAGCUGGAGGUGUACGAGAGAGUUUCAGCUCCUCAGGUGAAGAACACAACCUACAAUUCUUCAGAGUUGUGUUCAUUCCUGUGUUCUGUGAGGAACGUCAGAGGACUGAAGCUGGAUUUGUAUGAAGACGAUGUUUUAUUAAAUCACACCAGCAGCAGCAACACAUCCGACACCACACUGAAUCUUCAUCUAGAAAUAAAGAAGACGGACGAUCACAGACGGAGAACCUUCAGCUGUGUGGCUUCCAACCGAGUCAGUACCGAGAAAACCACGAUCGACAUCACACACUACUGCUCUCUGAACACAGAUAUUGAUGAUGAUAAUCAGAAAAGAAACGUGAUCAUUCCCGUUGUGGUUUCUGUGCUGUCUGUCCUGGCAGUAAUCGUGACGUUUGUGUAUCUGCGGAAAAGGAAGCGUGAAUCCCGUCGGCGUACAGAAGGCAGACUCAUCUGCAACUGAAGGACUGAAUGAAGAAGUACAGUAUUCUGUGAUAAAUCAUAAAAAACCCACUCAGGCAAAUAUACGAGAACGUGUCCCUGAGGAAGCAUGUCCACUAACGACGAUUUAUGACCAAAUCAGACCAGAGAGGUCUGAGUACAGCAAUAGCGGACCUGAAUAAAGCAGAACUGAACAGAGCUUAUCUUAUUAUUUUGUUUGGAAAAUAAAACAUUUCACAAAGACA